CCUACGGGAGGCAGCAGUGGGGAAUAUUGCACAAUGGGGGAAACCCUGAUGCAGCGACGCCGCGUGAGCGAAGAAGUAUUUCGGUAUGUAAAGCUCUAUCAGCAGGGAAGAAAAUGACGGUACCUGACUCAGAAGCCCCGGCUAACUACGUGCCAGCAGCCGCGGUAAUACGUAGGGGGCAAGCGUUAUCCGGAUUUACUGGGUGUAAAGGGAGCGUAGACGGCGAUGCAAGCCUGAUGUGAAAGCCCGGGGCUCGACCCCGGGACUGCAUUUGAAACUGUAUUGCUGGAGUGUCGGAGAGGCAGGCGGAAUGCCUAGUGUAGCGGUGAAAUGCGUAGAUAUUAGGAGGAACACCAGUGGCGAAGGCGGCCUGCUGGACGAUAACUGACGUUGAGGCUCGAAAGCGUGGGGAGCAAACAGGAUUAGAUACCCUAGUAGUC
RNAcentral lists this ribosomal RNA (440 nucleotides) under uncultured bacterium. RNAcentral describes it as "partial 16S ribosomal RNA". It matches the Rfam family "Bacterial small subunit ribosomal RNA", at positions 338 to 795 of the family's 1533-position model. The record is from RNAcentral.